GACGAACGCUGGCGGCGUGCCUAAUACAUGCAAGUAGAACGCACAGUUUAUACCGUAGCUUGCUACACCAUAGACUGUGAGUUGCGAACGGGUGAGUAACGCGUAGCUAACCUGCCUGGUAGCGGGGGAUAACUAUUGGAAACGAUAGCUAAUACCGCAUAAUAUUGAUUAUUGCAUGAUAAUUGAUUGAAAGAUGCUAUUGCAUCACUACCAGAUGGACCUGCGUUGUACUAGCUAGUAGGUGAGGUAACGGCUCACCUAGGCGACGAUACAUAGCCGACCUGAGAGGGUGGUCGGCCACACUGGGACUGAGACACGGCCCAGACUCCUACGGGAGGCAGCAGUAGGGAAUCUUCGGCAAUGGACGAAAGUCUGACCGAGCAACGCCGCGUGAGUGAAGAAGGUUUUCGGAUCGUAAAGCUCUGUUGUAAGAGAAGAACGGGUGUGAGAGUGGAAAGUUCACACUGUGACGGUAUCUUACCAGAAAGGGACGGCUAACUACGUG
This 505-nucleotide ribosomal RNA is filed under the name uncultured bacterium. Its description in RNAcentral is "partial 16S ribosomal RNA". It matches the Rfam family "Bacterial small subunit ribosomal RNA", at positions 28 to 507 of the family's 1533-position model. The record is from RNAcentral.